Non-coding RNA from Colossoma macropomum (tambaqui), 2073 nucleotides. The record is from the annotation of a RefSeq genome assembly. Lineage: Eukaryota; Metazoa; Chordata; Actinopteri; Characiformes; Serrasalmidae.
CAUGUCACUGCAGUGAAUAGUUGUCAUAUGUGUCCACCAACAACACUGAGUUACAGUCAUUAAUGUGGAAAUAGCACUUCCUGAAUCUAUUAUCCUGAACUCAGUGGACAGUCAACAUUUCAGCUUGAAAGGAUCAGAUAUCUGCUCAACAUCCAGUGAACUGUUUCUUCAAUAAACAGUAUGUAUUAUUGAAAAGAUCCAAAGCAUUUAAAAAGGAGUGUCUUUCCUGAAUGCUGAAGGGUUGCACACACUUGAAUGUAUAGUUAUUAUUACUGUAGCUGACAAUGCAAUUAAUAUUUUCAUCAUAGAACAUGUAAUCUAAAUCAUAUAAUAAGAAGUCAAUGAUACAUUAAACAAGACUUUCUGAAACAUUUCUUGAUUUAAUGAUUAUAGACAAACAUCAGAAAUUAAGGACACAGACACAAGAGUGUUUACACAUUACAUUUUGUCAUACUUUCAUAAUGUUUAUUAAGUCAUCUAAAGAAACAGCUUCACAUGCAUUCUUCACUGCUGUCCACACAACAUCCAAAGUGGUUGGAUUUGUCAGUGGAAAGAGACCACCAUAGGACCACUGCUGACCAGAUAUGAAGAUACAAUCUGGGUGAUAAAGUAUUACCAGCAGUGUCACUGAUAUGAUGUAGUAAUGUGUGUGGUGUUGGUACAAGUGCAUGAUGUACAGCAGUGUGUCUGGGAUUUUUAAACAGCUCAGUGUCACUGCUAAGUUGAGAGUGGUCGAUCUUCCAAAACAACCAGCCAAGAGUGGUAAUGGUCAAAAAGUGACCAUUGAUGAAGGACUAGAGGAUGGCUAACACAAACUAUGUUUCAACAGUCUCUAACCGCACACCAGCAUGUGGAGCUACAGUGGAACAGUUUAUGUGUUUGACACUCUGAUCAACUCAGUGUAACUGCUGAGAACAGUCCACCACCCAAAUAAUAUCUGCUUAAAAAUGAAUGGGGUAAAGGUUGGACAAUGGCCAGCUACAGUGUGUAAUUAUACACCUAGCGGUCCUAUAAAGUUAGUGAACAUCAUCAGUACAAGGCAGAAAUAUCUGAUAAACUGGAAACUCAGUGUAUGUGCAUCUAAGAAAUCAUUUUUGACUGCUAGCAUAUAUUUUAGAUGUCGCAUGCUUGUAUAGAAGACAAACAGGUUGUCUGUUGGUAAAAUGCCUCUCAUAUUAUUUUGCGUAACACAGCAGGAGUUGACUAUAGGAAACUGUGAGACACUGUGCACAAAUGAGGAAUGUGGCUCCGUUCCACAACAAAAGCAAAAACAAACUAGCAAAACUGUAAAAAAAAUUCUAAGCCGCUUAUUCUCCUGGGUUGCAGGUUGUUGGGCAGAAGGCAGGAAACAUGCUGGGCAGGUCACCAGUCCAUAACAGCAGACCAGAAUAUCUAAAUAAUAAAAAUAAAAAAAAACUUUCCUAAAUAAAAAAAAACACUUGAAAAAAAGGAUAAUAUGGAAACAUAGAACAUCAGAGAUAUAUUCACAGAAAAACAUGACCGCAGUACAUUGUGAUUGAGUGUAUGAGCUGCAUUAUGGGUGGAGCUGUGUAUCUCAGCAGAGAGCUACACUAAUCCCAUUCAGCUCUGACUCUGCUCUCAGUCACUUCACAUCUCUAUCAACAUGCUGCUCUCUAUCCUUUCUCUCCUAGCACUGCUUUUAGGAGACACAUCAGCACAGACAGUUGUGCCACUGGAAGGAGAAAUGCAUGUUUCAGAGGGUGAUAAUGUUACUCUCUCCUGCAACUACAGUAACCAGUAUGGUGGUGAUGUUCUCCAGUGGUAUCGUCAGUUUCCCAGAUCCAGACCAGAGUUUCUCCUGUAUAUUAACCUCCAUGCAUCUAAGAGUGAUCCUCCUCCUCGAAUGUCUGUUGAACUUGAUCAAGACAAAAAGCGUGUGGAUCUGUUGAUCUCCUCUGCUGCAGUUUCUGACUCUGCACUCUACUACUGUGCCCUGCAGCCCACAGUGACAGGAAACCCAGCUACACUGUACAAAAAAAAACAUUAGAUACUGUACAAAGCCUGUGGAUUAAUAAUGUUAUCUCUGUUGUCUCAGAAUGUAUCUGUGUAAAG